Molecule: ribosomal RNA, 951 nt
Filed under: Triticum aestivum (bread wheat)
Lineage: Eukaryota; Viridiplantae; Streptophyta; Magnoliopsida; Poales; Poaceae
Description: partial small subunit ribosomal RNA
Source: RNAcentral
AUGAAGGAGCGAUAUAAGGCUGAGCUGAGCAAAAAGGAAGCUCAAACUGCUGAUCUGCAAGAAAACAUCAAGUCCCAGCAAGCCGAAACCUCCAAAGCCAAGGAUGAGAUGUCAUGUGCUUUAGCCGCUAUGGAAAAACUGAAGGAGAGUUUCAACAAAGAGCGGGCGGAUUGGGACACAGAAAAGUCCGCGUUACAAAAAAGAGCCGAAGAUGCAGAAGCCGCUCUUAAACCGGUGGUAGAUGAGCUGACUGGCGUAAAACGACAGAUACAUGCCAUGACUGCUGCUGUGUUCGGAACUCGCAUUAGUCAUCUGGGCUCUGACGUACAGAAGAAGCUAAAGGCUGCCUACACUCUGAUAGAUCAGUUGUAUACCGGCGCGCAACGAAUCAUCUGCACCGCUUCUCACAAUAAACCGCCCCCAACGUUAAUUAAGGAUACCUUAGAGAGGCUGUCUAUGCUGCCUGCCCGGGUAGAAGAACUAAAGAGAUCUGCUGCAAGGGCUGGUGCUCUGACUGCACUAACCUGGGCAAAGGCAUGGGUGCCUGACCUUGAUCCGGAGGAUGACAGCAAAGGCUAUCUGAGCUUAAAAGAAGACGGAUCCGAAUUCAGAAAUGAGGACCUCCGAGCUAUAAACCGGGAAGUACGUCCACUGGCUUGCCAAUUAGCUGAAGAAGCUGAUCUUUCACAUUAUCAAGCGAGUUAUGACGUCCACAACAAACGGGUUGCUGCACCAACUCCAGAGGUUCAAAAUCUCAUCCCGCCAAUUCGUAAGCAUACCUAUGCCCCUGACAUUGAACUGUCCACCCUUAUAAGCGACGAAGCUGUGUUCCAAGCCCUAACUGGGAUCGACUGGACAACUAUUGACUUCCAGCCGCUGGGUAGAUACGAAGAGGAUGAACCGGUGCAAGAUGAUCCGCAGCCGUCAGGUCAAGCUGGAGACGAAUCAUGA